UCCGGUUUGUCACCGGCAGUCUCAUUAGAGUGCCCUUGCGUAGCAACUAAUGAUAAGGGUUGCGCUCGUUGCGGGACUUAACCCAACAUCUCACGACACGAGCUGACGACAGCCAUGCAGCACCUGUGUUCCAGUUCCCUUUCGGGCACACCCAAAUCUCUAAGGGCUUCUGGACAUGUCAAGGGUAGGUAAGGUUUUUCGCGUUGCAUCGAAUUAAUCCACAUCAUCCACCGCUUGUGCGGGUCCCCGUAAAUUCCUUUGAGUUUUAACCUUGCGGCCGUACUCCCCAGGCGGGUAACUUAGAGCGUUAGCGACGACACGGAAGGGGUCGAUACCUCCCACAUCUAGUUACCAUCGUUUACAGCUGGGACUAC
This 374-nucleotide unclassified non-coding RNA is filed under the name uncultured bacterium. RNAcentral describes it as "contains 16S-23S intergenic spacer region". The record is from RNAcentral.